RNAcentral lists this signal recognition particle RNA (147 nucleotides) under Homo sapiens (human). RNAcentral's name for it is "Metazoan signal recognition particle RNA". It matches the Rfam family "Metazoan signal recognition particle RNA". Rfam says of the family: The signal recognition particle (SRP) is a universally conserved ribonucleoprotein. It is involved in the co-translational targeting of proteins to membranes. Lineage: Eukaryota; Metazoa; Chordata; Mammalia; Primates; Hominidae. The record is from Rfam by way of RNAcentral.
GCCGGGCAUGGUGGCGUGUGCCUGUAAUCCCAGCUACUUGGGAGGCUGAGGCAGGGAAUCGCUUGAACCCGGGAGGCAGAGGUUGCAGUGAGCUGAGACUGGGGCACUGAACUCCAGCCUGGGUGACAAAGCGAGACUCCGUCUCAA